AUUGGCAACGAUAGCUAUGGAGGUACACCCAGUAACAUUUCGAACCUGGAAGUUAAGCCCAUAAACGCUGAAAGUACUUGGGGGCAGCCCCCUGGGAGGAUAGGAAGUUGCCAAUC
Molecule: ribosomal RNA, 116 nt
Filed under: Cetobacterium sp. 2G large
Lineage: Bacteria; Fusobacteriati; Fusobacteriota; Fusobacteriia; Fusobacteriales; Fusobacteriaceae
Source: RNAcentral